AGUAUUAGUAAGCUGUGCGGCAGGCCUAACACAUGCAAGUCGAACGGUAGCACAGAGAGCUUGCUCUUGGGUGACAAGUGGCGGACGGGUGAGUAAUGUCUGGAAAACUGCCUGAUGGAGGGGGAUAACUACUGGAAACGGUAGCUAAUACCGCAUAACGUCGCAAGACCAAAGAGGGGGACCUUCGGGCCUCUUGCCAUCAGAUGUGCCCAGAUGGGAUUAGCUAGUAGGUGGGGUAACGGCUCACCUAGGCAACGAUCCCUAGCUGGUCUGAAAGGAUGACCAGCCACACUGGAACUGAAACCCGGUCCAAACUCCUACGGGAGGCAGCUGUGGGGAAUAUUGCACUAUGGGCGCAAGCCUGAUGCAACCAUGCCGCGUGUAUGAAGAAU
Molecule: ribosomal RNA, 392 nt
Filed under: Enterobacter cloacae
Lineage: Bacteria; Pseudomonadati; Pseudomonadota; Gammaproteobacteria; Enterobacterales; Enterobacteriaceae
Description: bacterial SSU rRNA
Rfam family: Bacterial small subunit ribosomal RNA
Source: RNAcentral